UACGUAGGGUGCGAGCGUUAAUCGGAAUUACUGGGCGUAAAGCGUGCGCAGGCGGUUUUGUAAGCCAGAUGUGAAAUCCCCGGGCUUAACCUGGGAAUGGCAUUUGGGACUGCAAGGCUCGAGUGCGGCAGAGGAGACUGGAAUUCCUGGUGUAGCAGUGAAAUGCGUAGAUAUCAGGAGGAACACCGAUGGCGAAGGCAGGUCUCUGGGCUGACACUGACGCUCAUGCACGAAAGCGUGGGGAGCAAACAGGAUU
RNAcentral lists this ribosomal RNA (256 nucleotides) under uncultured bacterium. RNAcentral's name for it is "partial 16S ribosomal RNA". It matches the Rfam family "Bacterial small subunit ribosomal RNA", at positions 524 to 779 of the family's 1533-position model. The record is from RNAcentral.